This 555-nucleotide ribosomal RNA is filed under the name uncultured bacterium. Its description in RNAcentral is "partial 16S ribosomal RNA". It matches the Rfam family "Bacterial small subunit ribosomal RNA", at positions 355 to 900 of the family's 1533-position model. The record is from RNAcentral.
UAGGGAAUCUUCCACAAUGGACGCAAGUCUGAUGGAGCAACGCCGCGUGAGUGAAGAAGGUUUUCGGAUCGUAAAGCUCUGUUGUUGGUGAAGAAGGAUAAAGGUAGUAACUGGCCUUUAUUUGACGGUAAUCAACCAGAAAGUCACGGCUAACUACGUGCCAGCAGCCGCGGUAAUACGUAGGUGGCAAGCGUUGUCCGGAUUUAUUGGGCGUAAAGCGAGCGCAGGCGGAAGAAUAAGUCUGAUGUGAAAGCCCUCGGCUUAACCGAGGAACUGCAUCGGAAACUGUUUUUCUUGAGUGCAGAAGAGGAGAGUGGAACUCCAUGUGUAGCGGUGGAAUGCGUAGAUAUAUGGAAGAACACCAGUGGCGAAGGCGACUCUCUGGUCUGCAACUGACGCUGAGGCUCGAAAGCAUGGGUAGCGAACAGGAUUAGAUACCCUUGGUAGUCCAUGCCGUAAACGAUGAGUGCUAAGUGUUGGGAGGUUUCCGCCUCUCAGUGCUGCAGCUAACGCAUUAAGCACUCCGCCUGGGGAGUACGACCGCAAGGUUGAAAC